GAUGAACGCUGGCGGCGUGCCUAAUACAUGCAAGUCGAGCGAACAGACGAGGAGCUUGCUCCUCUGACGUUAGCGGCGGACGGGUGAGUAACACGUGGAUAACCUACCUAUAAGACUGGGAUAACUUCGGGAAACCGGAGCUAAUACCGGAUAAUAUAUUGAACCGCAUGGUUCAAUAGUGAAAAACGGUUUUGCUGUCACUUAUAGAUGGAUCCGCGCCGCAUUAGCUAGUUGGUAAGGUAACGGCUUACCAAGGCAACGAUGCGUAGCCGACCUGAGAGGGUGAUCGGCCACACUGGAACUGAGACACGGUCCAGACUCCCACGGGAGGCAGCAGUAGGGAAUCUUCCGCAAUGGGCGAAAGCCUGACGGAGCAACGCCGCGUGAGUGAUGAAGGUCUUCGGAUCGUAAAACUCUGUUAUUAGGGAAGAACAAAUGUGUAAGUAACUAUGCACGUCUUGACGGUACCUAAUCAGAAAGCCACGGCUAACUACGUG
This 497-nucleotide ribosomal RNA is filed under the name uncultured bacterium. Its description in RNAcentral is "partial 16S ribosomal RNA". It matches the Rfam family "Bacterial small subunit ribosomal RNA", at positions 28 to 507 of the family's 1533-position model. The record is from RNAcentral.